UCGCACCGAAGACGCUGCUGCCCUUUGUCCGUCCAUACUUUUUUAUACGAUAAGUAAUCAGCAACAUAUCAUAUACUAAAACCUUCUCCGAAACACACUGCAUCUUAUGGUAUAAGUAUUAUGCCGAUCG
Molecule: long non-coding RNA, 130 nt
Organism: Melitaea cinxia (Glanville fritillary)
Lineage: Eukaryota; Metazoa; Arthropoda; Insecta; Lepidoptera; Nymphalidae
Exons: 3
Source: RefSeq, a predicted model, not a curated record